UACGGGGGGGGCAAGCGUUGUUCGGAAUUACUGGGCGUAAAGGGCUCGUAGGCGGCCAACUAAGUCAGACGUGAAAUCCCUCGGCUUAACCGGGGAACUGCGUCUGAUACUGGAUGGCUUGAAUCCGGGGGAGGGAUGCGGAAUUCCAGGUGUAGCGGUGAAAUGCGUAGAUAUCUGGAGGAACACCGAUUGCGAAGGCAGCUCGCUGGAACGUUACUGACGCUGAGACGCGAAAGCGUGGGGAGCAAACAGG
This 253-nucleotide ribosomal RNA is filed under the name uncultured bacterium. Its description in RNAcentral is "partial 16S ribosomal RNA". It matches the Rfam family "Bacterial small subunit ribosomal RNA", at positions 524 to 776 of the family's 1533-position model. The record is from RNAcentral.